This 787-nucleotide ribosomal RNA is filed under the name Staphylococcus pasteuri. RNAcentral's name for it is "bacterial SSU rRNA". It matches the Rfam family "Bacterial small subunit ribosomal RNA", at positions 618 to 1395 of the family's 1533-position model. Lineage: Bacteria; Bacillati; Bacillota; Bacilli; Caryophanales; Staphylococcaceae. The record is from RNAcentral.
GGUCAUUGGGAAACUGGGAAAAACUUGAGUGCAGAAGAAGGAAAAGUGGAAUUCCCCUGUGUAGCCGGUGAAAUUCGCAGAGAUAUGGGAGGAACACCAGUGGCGAAGGCGACUUUUUUGGUCUGUAACUGACGCUGAUGUGCGAAAGCGUGGGGGAUCAAACAGGGAUUAGAUACCCUGGUAGUCCACGCCGUAAACGAUGAGUGCUAAGUGUUAGGGGGUUUCCGCCCCUUAGUGCUGCAGCUAACGCAUUAAGCACUCCGCCUGGGGAGUACGACCGCAAGGUUGAAACUCAAAGGAAUUGACGGGGACCCGCACAAGCGGUGGAGCAUGUGGUUUAAUUUGAAGCAACGCGAAGAACCUUACCAAAUCUUGACAUCCUUUGACCGCUCUAGAGAUAGAGUUUUCCCCUUCGGGGGACAAAGUGACAGGUGGUGCAUGGUUGUCGUCAGCUCGUGUCGUGAGAUGUUGGGUUAAGUCCCGCAACGAGCGCAACCCUUAAGCUUAGUUGCCAUCAUUAAGUUGGGCACUCUAAGUUGACUGCCGGUGACAAACCGGAGGAAGGUGGGGAUGACGUCAAAUCAUCAUGCCCCUUAUGAUUUGGGCUACACACGUGCUACAAUGGACAAUACAAAGGGCAGCUAAACCGCGAGGUCAAGCAAAUCCCAUAAAGUUGUUCUCAGUUCGGAUUGUAGUCUGCAACUCGACUACAUGAAGCUGGAAUCGCUAGUAAUCGUAGAUCAGCAUGCUACGGUGAAUACGUUCCCGGGUCUUGUACACACCGCCC